GACGAACGCUGGCGGCGUGCCUAACACAUGCAAGUCAGGGAGAAGGAGGUAGCAAUACUUCCGGAAACCGGCGCACGGGUGAGUAACACGUAGGUAAUUUACCCUUGGGCGGGGAAUAACCACGCGAAAGCGUGGCUAAUACCGCAUAAUGCAACGAGACCGCAUGGCCUUGUUGUUAAAGAUCCGCAAGGAUCACCUGAGGAUGGACCUGCGCCCGAUUAGCUAGUUGGCGGAGAAUAGCCCACCAAGGCGACAAUCGGUAGCCGACCUGAGAGGGUGAUCGGCCACACUGGAACUGAGAUACGGUCCAGACUCCUACGGGAGGCAGCAGUGAGGAAUAUUGGUCAAUGGGCGAAAGCCUGAACCAGCAACGCCGCGUGAGGGAUGAAGGUCUAAGGA
Molecule: ribosomal RNA, 399 nt
Filed under: uncultured bacterium
Lineage: Bacteria
Description: bacterial SSU rRNA
Rfam family: Bacterial small subunit ribosomal RNA
Source: RNAcentral